GAUGAACGCUGGCGGCGUGCCUAAUACAUGCAAGUCGAGCGAACGGACGAGAAGCUUGCUCCUCUGACGUUAGCGGCGGACGGGUGAGUAACACGUGGAUAACCUACCUAUAAGACUGGGAUAACUUCGGGAAACCGGAGCUAAUACCGGAUAAUAUAUUGAACCGCAUGGUUCAAUAGUGAAAGACGGUUUUGCUGUCACUUAUAGAUGGAUCCGCGCUGCAUUAGCUAGUUGGUAAGGUAACGGCUUACCAAGGCAACGAUGCGUAGCCGACCUGAGAGGGUGAUCGGCCACACUGGAACUGAGACACGGUCCAGACUCCUACGGGAGGCAGCAGUAGGGAAUCUUCCGCAAUGGGCGAAAGCCUGACGGAGCAACGCCGCGUGAGUGAUGAAGGUCUUCGGAUCGUAAAACUCUGUUAUUAGGGAAGAACAAAUGUGUAAGUAACUGUGCACGUCUUGACGGUACCUAAUCAGAAAGCCACGGCUAACUACGUG
Molecule: ribosomal RNA, 497 nt
Filed under: uncultured bacterium
Lineage: Bacteria
Description: partial 16S ribosomal RNA
Rfam family: Bacterial small subunit ribosomal RNA
Source: RNAcentral